Molecule: long non-coding RNA, 6842 nt
Organism: Pteronotus mesoamericanus
Lineage: Eukaryota; Metazoa; Chordata; Mammalia; Chiroptera; Mormoopidae
Exons: 4
Source: RefSeq, a predicted model, not a curated record
GGCGGGGCUUGUGGAAACGGCCGCCACAGGGUUGGCGGACUUGUGAAGGAGCAAAGAUGGCGGAGUGAGGCGCUCCGCUGCGAUCCGGCCUUGGGCCGGUGGGUAGGCCGGUCACCGGGCGAUCCAUUGCUUCUGCUGGCUCGUGCGAGGAAGAACAUUUUCCUUGACUUUUAGGUGCUUUUUUAUUCAUCUGGAAAAGAAAAAAUUCUGAACUCAGGAUUUGGCAACCAAGGAUAUGUUUAUUGAUUCUAGAGAGGGAGGAAGAGGAGGAGAGAGAGAGAAAAGAGAAAAGAAGACAUCAAUAUGAGAGAAAAACAUGGAUCACUUGUCUCCAAUACAUACCCUAACUGGGAAUCAAACCCUCAACCCAGGUAUUUCUAUGUUGUCCCUGGAGUGGGUAGUCCUGCGUCUUCUAUUCAAUCACUCUCCCUAGUCUUGAAAUGAGAAUAUCUCUUCUCUACACUUUACCUCCACGAUUUGGAUCGAAAAGGCUGCUUUUCUUUUUUUUCUGCAUCAAAAAUUCAACACAGAGAAGAUCCUAGGAUGCAGUCAUUCUGCCAACUUCUUCAGGGAGAAAGAAGCAACUGUCACGUUUCUUCUGCCAUUUUAAUUGUAAAGAAAUUAUUUUGCAGGCUGAAGGGUGAUGUUUAAUUUGAAACAGGUGCUUCAGUGGUGGUAUUUGUAAACUUUCUACCUUUUGUUCCAAGAAGAAAACUAUAUAAAUAGCAAGUAUCAAGGGGUUUUGUUUGUUUGGUUUUGGUUUUUUUUAAUGUCUUCCAGUAGUAGUCACUAUCAUAAGCACAGUUAUGACUACAGGAAUAAAUUACAAACGUGUUGUAAUUUGAUAUAAAAGAGAUGCUAAAUAUAUAUAUAUGUGUGUGUAUAUAUAUAUAUAUAUAUCCUGGCUCAUCCUGUGACAUAGAUUAACUGGAUAAGAACAAAGGUCCAAUAUUGCAGUGAAACCUUUGAUAUGAGGAAGAAGCAUAAAAACAAAAUAUUGCAAAGUUAAUUUCAUGUGUGAAUAAAUCAUCACUGUCUCUGUUUAAAUACAUAUUUUAAAGUGUAAACCCACAUAUUUGGAUGAGAAGAGCGAUUUUUCUACUAGGAAGGAAGCUGUUUCUCAGAAGUCUUUGGACAUUUGAUGUUUUAAAAUGUUUUGUUUUCUUUGUUGUUCUAAGGAAGGACUAUAUUGUGCAGCUGUUAACCCUAUGAAUGCAUGCUUGGGAUUAGUGAAAGUUGGGUAAAAGGAAACAAAAGUUUUGAGUCCAGUGAUGGAACCCUGUUCACCUCCCUAGGAUAAGAAGCUGCUAUGUUACAAAUUACUUCAUUCAUUUUUUGGAGUCUUAUAUAGCACUUAUAGAAGUUUUCCAUGCUGCUGGAAGAAAAGUGGCAUACGUGGUUUUUCUGUUCAGAAGAUGUGAUGGACCCUACAGUGUAACCUGCCUUCAACUUUGGACAUGGAGGAAUGGGGCAAAAUAAGAAAACUUUCCAUAUAACUCCCUUCUCCUAAGAAAAGGAAGCAAAAAAUGACUUACAGUUCCACCUGACUUGAUGGUGUUUUACAUUUCGUAGCUUUGUUUUUUGUAAAAGUAUAAAUAACUUUUUCCUUUGAUCCAAGACCAGUACUUGGAUGUUUGAUUUCUUUUUCUAGGUGACAGCUGUAGUGUUAGGCUGAAAAGGCUGGGACUCAGGUAACUUUCCCCACUCUUCAUCAGAGAAUGGGCCUCAGAAGCAAUGUUGCCAAACUUGUGGUUGGCUCAGUGUACAAGAAGUUCAGGUCUGAAAAAAACCUGAAACAAGAAAAAUAGCUUCAACAAGAUGUAUGGAUCUUCCUCUCCCUUAAAACUUAAGCUAUAGAGGAACAGACCAUAGUGUAAAGCUGUUAACUUCAAAAUCAACAGAAGAACAGUGUAUGAAUCGUCAGGUCUCUGCAUAAGAAGAAUGAAAUCUUUAUGAGUCUCUGUGAUUUGAGAAAGAAUUUAAAGCUUCUUAGAUGAAAUUAAGAACAAAUCAUCUUAGAUCAUCUCUGUGAUUAGGGAAUGUUUGCCUAGGGCCAAACAUGCUGUCAUGUUGAAAACUUGGUGCAGAUUUACCAAGAUUUGAGAGUGAUAGAACUGGCCAAAAAAUGGAAAUGUUGCGCACUCUUGAUUAGUUUAAUUGGUCAGCCAGUUUGAAUUGGUAUAAGAAAGCUUUUUAGUAAAAUAAAUAAAAUGUCAUUUUCUUUAAUUGAGGGCAAUUACUGAGUGGUACAGCACAGAAGUAACCAGAUAAAGGUAACAAUUUUUUUCUCUUAAGUAACUUCCCAGCCACUUCCUGAUAAACAUAUUUAAAGUACUUUGAAAUUGUUAAAGACAAUGGAAUUUACAUACAUGGGUCCCGGUGGUAUAGAGAGUGUCAGAUGGGAAAUUUAUAUCUUCAGUUUGUUACCUACUUUCCUUGUAUCCUUUUGGCAACUUUUUGGGUAGGAUCAUUUGACAGAGAAUAGGGACCCUGUACUAUCAGCAUAGUGAAAUCAUCUCUGGCCCACUUGUUUGAAUAAGUAUCAGACUCAGUUUCUCUGGUUGCUUUAUAUUUUUUCAUUUCACAGCUAAGAGAACCGCUGUUUAAUACUCUUUCAUGUUGUUUCUGCAUCCUGCUACCAAAUGGCAUUUAAUGAAAUGAGCAUAUUGCAGUUGUACUUGUCCAGUGUUUACUUAUUACAUAGACAUUUUUUUCCUGGUCUAUUUUGGUCUCCUCCUUGAUGGCAAAAGUUGUAGUUUUAGGCAGAACCAUGCAUCCAUCCUAAGCUAUAUCUGCUUCCUUUCCUUUGCUCAUCCAUUUUAGCUGGCAGGUUUGGGAUUUUCUUUUUUAUUUUGUUUGUUUUUUUUUUUUUAAGUUAAAAACGGGAUAUGUGCAAUAGAAAUAUAUAUAUGUAUAUUUUAAUACUUGUGGACAAAUGUUACAAGUUGUUUCAGAACAACAAAAUCACCAAUGUCUUCCAUUUUGAGAUGUGUAUAGUUUUGUAAGCAUUAGUGCUUAGUAGCAUAUUGUAGUGCCAUGUUAGAAGUUAGUGCAUGAGCCUAGUAAUUAUUUAAACUUCAGGAUGAAUUAUAAUAACCAAUAGUGUAAAAAGUGAAAAAUGUAGACCUUUUUUCCUAAGUUUCGAUAUCCAUGAUAUUCUCCCUGGGGAGAGAUUAGGCCAAAAAGACUCAUUUAUAAAUAGUAAUGUGAGAUCACAAUGUGAAAUACUGUGUUUGAGAAUAUUUAAGCUUUUCAUGAGGUAGCUGGAAACCAGCUGCCUUAGUGUCUUAUGAAACCUUACAUCCAAACGUGGCCCCAUUUCAGGAUUCUGCUUUGCUCAGUUUGAGGUGAGAUUGUUCUUACGCUAUUUUCACAUUCUAUGUCUUUUACAUUUAUUAUUUUCCUACUUUUGCAUCAGGAAAUUAUAUUGCAUGUCCUACUGAGAUGCUAUGUUAAUUGCUUAAGCGAGUGCUUUUCUAAUCUGCAGAUCAUUUACACUUUCUGCAGCAUGCCAUGUGUCAGUAGUUCAGAGUGUCCUGCAUUAAUUUGUCAUGGGCUUUUCCUAUUUCCAAAUUUGUUGAAUUGUGUAUUGUUGGGAUUCCAGACCUUUUCACAGAAUUGGAAAUGCAGCCAACAGAGCCUUUGUAGGUUGCCAUGUAAUAACUAACUUUUGCUUGGUUAUAGCUGCCUCAGACAGCUUUCACUUUUCUACUUUCCUUGUAGUCAUAAAAAUUAUGGUAUUCUGAAAGCAUAAGAUAGCUUAUUGUCGAAAAGAAAUUCCUACCUCUAAAAGCUGCCUUGAGAACUGGGAAAUGGCAGUUUUCUGAGGUGAUUUUUAAAUCUUAGUAUUAGAAGAGUCCAAAAUUUAUUGGCACAGGUUCUACAGUUAGCAUGAUAGGAAAUUCAAAACUAUUUUAAUGUACUGUGUCUUGUGUGUAGAAACAAACUUAGACAAAUAGAUUCUUCUGCAGCAGAUCUCCAGGGACCCAGGUUUCAAUUCUCAUAGUGUACUUCAAGUAAUUGUACUCUUGGCUCAAAUAGUUUAGUGCCUGUGAGAAUCCAUUUCUGAAAAGCAUUUAAACAUUUUUUAAAAUACCUCUGAAAAGGUAAUAAAUGCAAAGAUAGCACAGUACGUAUAGGAAAGGGUAUUCCCUAUUGAAAAAGAAAAGAAAAAGCCAUAAAAUGAAAUAAUACUUUUCAAGAGGUAGAAUUUUAGUAGCAAUAACAGUUUUGGCAUGUAAAGUAAGUUGCAUUAGCAAGACUGUAUAGUAGAAUAAGUAUCACUAGAGUUUGUGAGGCUCUGUGGUUAACAGAGUUGCAGAAAAGGAAGUUUUAGAUAAAGAGCAUAUAAAAGUUACUUUUAAAACUAUGAAUGUAUGUGAAUACAUCAGUGAGAAAUAACAACUUUUGUGUAAGUUAAAGGUUAAAGACCCUAUUGGUUUCCUAGAGCAGAGGGUUAGAACCUUUGAAUGAAAUUUUUCUAGUGCUUAACCUGGGAAAUAAAUGUACUCUUACUGAUGAAGUCCCACUGAAGCUAUUGUGUGGGGAUUUUGCUUAUUUUUUUUUUUAAGCAUCAGGCAAAUAGUAUACUUUUUGCUUUGUCACCUUACCUUCCUCCAUUAGUUUCCUGGGUAUAUUCUUAAAAAGGAAAAGUUUGUUGUGUGUGUGUAUUUAGAAUUUUAAAAAUUAAAACUUGGAUAGCUGGCCUAUGGUUAGUUUAGGGGAGUUAAGAUUUAAAGGUGUAAAACGAAAGGAUUGAAGGGAAUAACCAAAGACAGUAUGUUGGUUUUUUAAACCUUGUCUAAUAUAGAUGUGUUAGGCCUGCAGUCUGUGACUACUUAUUUUAACAGAAACCCAGCAAACUAGUUUCUUGAUCUGAGCAUGCACAGAGCUCACAUCAGGAUAUAAUAGUGGAAUGAGGGUGACUUCUUACUCCCUUUUACCUCAUGUCAUCUUGGCCAUUUAGCACCUUGAAGAGAUCCCUGAGGGGACUCAGUCUGUUUCCUUGUUUUUCCAGGGGAAGAAAAAAAGAAACCUAAAAGAUAAAUGGAAAAGAUCUAAGAACAUAGUGCCUCUUGAAUAUUUAAUUCUUAUAUGGCAACUCCAAAGGAUAGGAAGGCUCUACUAAAUUGAUUAUAGCUCCUCUUUAAAUGUCCUACACCAUCAGUUGGUGUUAGAGACAUUGGAAUAACCAAGCAAUAUUCAGACAUCUGCAUGAUCUUGAGAACACUAGGUGUAUUACUGUGAUGUCAACAGUUUAGCUACUUAGAACAAUUAAAGCUUACCCUUAACAGCCACAUCAAUUGUUCCAAAUGCUAAAAUGUGCUAAAAGUUUUUGUAGUUUCAAAGUACACAGUUAAUUACUUUUCAGUGUUGUAGUCUCAUGUUUACUCUUUGUGUACUUGUGAUAUGCAAAAUAUGAAGAGACCUUGUUCUCCAGGAGUUUACAUUAUCAUGGUGCUGCUGGUGCAAGCAAAUUACUUCUAGUUUAUUCAGAACAUUGCUUGGCUAUUAAUCAUACCAUAUUUGGAAGGAUCCCUUGACCAACAGUUUUCAAAAGCAGAGGGCUAUGCUAAAUUUCAGGGCAUUGAUUUUUGCGUUUACAUUGUAUUAGCUCUGCUGUUCAUAAACUCCUUUCCCCCUGGGAGCUGUGCAGCUAAUGCUCUUAACAUGAAUUAGAGAAGAAACCAUUCUAAGAGCAUCUUUACCGUCCCUACACCGCCUGUGCUCCUCUACACUACAGCAGUCAAAAGGCCAAGAAACUUACUGCUCCAGAAGACUGUGCAUCUCUCAAUUCUAUUUCUUUUCCCAGAGUUUUUACAUCAUUCUGUAUCCAGAAGGACCAGGAUUUGCCAUUAAGCUUUUUGUAACUGAAUAUUGGUCCUAAUUUUAACUUUUUUUGUGACUUUUGUACCGCUAUUCUGAAGCAGCAUUAUGAUAGACGUGGAGCACCUGCCUGCAUUUCUAAGCAAUUACUUAAACCCUAUUUUUGAUUGAAACUGCAUGUAUCCUUGUUUCUAAUUCCUCUGAAUCAAGAGAUUUACUUUGCAUGUUUAUUAAAACUGGGUCUGGAUGAAAGUACAAGCAAUAGAGGCAGGCCCAUAACUCUGAUUUUAGAGCACUAAUAUUCUAAUGCAUGAUUGAUUGAAAAUGUCCAGUAUUAUGUGGCUACUAUUAUAUAUAUAUGCAUUUAUUAAUAAUGAAGCAAUAGACUUAAACCAGUAGCUUGAAUUUACUGUUUGGAUUAUUAGUUUUCAUUUUCUAAUUAAAGAUGAUCUUACUUCCAUUGAAAAUGGGAGCUAGAUGAUAAACAGGGGCAACUGUAAGAUAUUCAAACUGUCAGGAAUAGAGCAUAAGAGUGCUCAUCACCCUCUAACCUCUUACUUGGUUCCAUUAGUCCCCGAGCAUGUUUAAAAACAAUACAAAAGGCACAAACUAAGCAUGUGGAAUAAAUAAAUAUAGCUAUGGCUAUAAUAAUCAGGUGCAGAGUUUCAGAAAGGGUAGGAAAGUAGGGAACAAAAGUAUGGAAUAUGUAAAGUAAAUAAGGGUUUGUCAAAGUCUAUGUGGCUCAAAUUUGCAUCUUAAAAGUAGGAUCUUGGAAGUGGAUAGAGGCAAUAUGCACAUAUUUCAUGUUUCAGGGUUUUUUAGAUAACUAGGCAACUUUCUGGAUGGUACUGGUAUUGACCAGCCAUGAAGGAUUUUGGCAGCAAAACUGUUCCAUUUUGGGGAAAUAGUCCUGAGAAAUAUUAACAUAUCUGUGGCUUGGUUUCUCUUUUGUUACUGUAUUUAUUACAUUAACACUUUUUUUAAUAGCCAGAGUUUUAUUCUUGGCAUUUUGGUCA